CACUAUAUACACUACCCUCCCUCCUCCUCCUCUCCCUUUCUAUUUAUCUUUUUUUUUGCUCUUUGUGUAGUUGAGGAAUCCUUCCAUAAACAGGUUGAAGAGUUAAAGUCAUUUCAUAAGAAAGAGGUUCAUGAGUUACAGUCAAGACAUGAUAAGGAGCUAAUGGAGAUGCAUUUAAGUUACCAGUCAUCAAUUGAAAAGUUAAGACAAGAGAUUUCUCACAAAAGGAAUUAAUAGAGAAAUGCUAGUCAUUAGGUUAUGUAUAUUGUUUUAUUGUUUUUUUAUAAAUUACUCUCUCUUUGAUAUAAAACUGCACAUUAUUAUUAUAGCUAUAUAGUCUUGUAUAUUGUAUAAUAAAAAUAUUAAAAUAA
Long non-coding RNA from Amphimedon queenslandica, 371 nucleotides. RefSeq lists it as uncharacterized. NCBI's taxonomy places the organism in Eukaryota, Metazoa, Porifera, Demospongiae, Haplosclerida, Niphatidae. The record is from RefSeq and is a predicted model, not a curated record. The transcript is spliced from 3 exons.